Long non-coding RNA from Gasterosteus aculeatus aculeatus (three-spined stickleback), 1999 nucleotides. Lineage: Eukaryota; Metazoa; Chordata; Actinopteri; Perciformes; Gasterosteidae. The record is from Ensembl.
GGAAAAAGGGCAAGAAAAUAAACAAGGACAGGAAGGGUUUAAAAGAAUAAAACAGGAAAUUAUUCUUUUCAGUGUCUUAGAGUCGUCACAGACUCAGACUGUACAAAGUCACAUUGUUUGGGCUUCCAUUCCCACUUGUCGUACAUGAUAUGGUUUAUAUCACAUGGUUUGACUUUUGCCACCAAAUCUGUUAAGUGCAGAAUCUUGUGUUGCGUCCUCAUCUACACAGUCGGCGUCACUUCAAAUGUUUCAAACACAAAACAGAGGGAUCAUAUGCAAAUGAAGAGAGCCUUCAAAAGCCAACGUCAGAGUAGCAUGUGACAAGCAGCGGGAGCCUUCAAGAUGGAUGGACGAAAAGGAAAGGAAGGAAAUUCUGACAUCUCCAUGUGGAGGCACGUGCACUCCCUGAUCACGGCAGUGCCUUGUGGCGAUCCUCGGAUGCAUCUCAGUGUGCACAAAUGAAUGUGCGAGCACGCCGUGUUCCUCUGGAGGCAGGAUACGUUUUCCACAUCCCUCUCUGCCUAUAAUUGGCCGUCGUGAUAAAACACCGGUUUUCUGGCGCUUGCAGGAUCAAACAGUGAUGAGCAGCUCUCUUCUCAGCACACUGCAGACACCAGAUGGCUGUCCUCAAGUCGAAGCCCGGGCUAUAUGCAGUACUCAUUUGAAGGGCAAUUCAUCCGAGAAAGCCAAUUUUGAUAUUGUAUGCCACUUGUAAUCACAAUUAGAUAUAGUUCUCGUGGUUUGAUGAAGGCUUUGAUUUGUGAUUUAAUAGGGAAUUUUAAAUGUUUAGCAGCUUUUGGCAUUGACUCUUAUUUUGCAUUUUGGUCUAGUGAGUUAUCAAGGUGCCCUCCGCAAACUGAUAGAAGCUGACUAUUACAGUGUAUCUCAGUACACAAACAAAAUCCUGUGCCGAAUGCAAGCAGAAUUUUCUUUUAAUAAAGAUUUUUGAGGUGGCAGAAGGAUCCCUUAUAACUUCCCAAUAUUAGACUUUGUGAUAUUUUUAUUAAGAAUACAAGGUUCAUGGGUAUUGUUUAGGUUACAGGGCUCAACUAGAGCUGUACUCAUUCAAUUAGGUUGUAUGUACAAUUUGUCUGUUACUGACUGAGAAUUGUCCCCAGCUCCCCCUUCUUUGUAUCGUAAUAGGAAGCAGAACCAUUAACCUGUAUAUCUGACAUGGGUUUUGAUAUUUUUGCAGGGACGAUGUGAUUUUCGAUUGGUUUCAAGAAAUGUGGUGCAGAGCUUCAUGUGUCCCUCCGGAUACAUUGUGUUGGUUUUGUUUCAUUUGGUGCCAUGAUCAGUUGAAAAUUAAAACUGUGUGCUGCACUUGGGUGACGGAUAAAUAAAACUAAUGGGACAGGUAGCGGUCUGCAGCCCGCUUGGUUGGUGACCACUGUUCUAGUGCAUUCGACUAUUAUUCAGCAAGGUCCAGAUAGAGAAUUUACUCAUACAAAAGAUCCGGAACAUUGCUGUAAUGGCCAACUUGUGCUACGCUUUAGUGCCAUACAUAUUGAAGUUGUAUUAACAUCUGUAUUAAUCAAAUAAAGAAAGUUCAAUUGAUAAAUACCUCACCUGUCAGUUUUCCAAUUGAACAGGAUGGUCUAUGAAUAAAACAGGCCUCACAAAUGAGUAAAUGUUCAGUUACAAUGAAAGAUGGAUUUAAAAAAUAAAUACAAAUGAAACUGCUCUUCACCUAUAAAUUCAGUAAGUUAAGGUGUGAAGGGAAGUUACACAAAAAAGCCACAAUAUCAUAUUCUCCUCAUAUUGUUAUACGAUCAAUUUGUGUGCAGGGACUUUAUCUGUGGCUUUUGAAGUCGCUUCUUUCUGACUUUUAUUUAUCAGACAAUUAUUUAACUUUUCCCCAAAUAACUGUUUAACUUUCAAACUAUUACAGUGACGUGAAAUGACUUCACUCCAGUGUGUUCCCCAACUUUUCCUUCAAACUGUCAGUGGCAACAGACACAAUGGCCGACUACCUAUGGCUGAAAGCUGCUGUGCAUUU